This 495-nucleotide ribosomal RNA is filed under the name uncultured bacterium. RNAcentral describes it as "bacterial SSU rRNA". It matches the Rfam family "Bacterial small subunit ribosomal RNA", at positions 19 to 518 of the family's 1533-position model. The record is from RNAcentral.
CUGGCUCAGGAUGAACGCUGGCGGCGUGCUUAACACAUGCAAGUCGAGCGGAGUAUUCAGGAAGUUUCGGAUGGAAUGAAAUGACUUAGCGGCGGACGGGUGAGUAACGACGUGGGUAACCUGCCUCAUACAGGGGGAUAACAGUUAGAAAUGACUGCUAAUACCGCAUAAGCGCACAGUGCUGCAUAGCACAGUGUGAAAAAACUCUGGUGGUAUGAGAUGGACCCGCGUCUGAUUAGGUAGUUGGUAGGGUAACGGCCUACCAAGCCGACGAUCAGUAGCCGACCUGAGAGGGUGACCGGCCACAUUGGGACUGAGACACGGCCCAAACUCCUACGGGAGGCAGCAGUGGGGAAUAUUGGACAAUGGGGGAAACCCUGAUCCAGCGACGCCGCGUGAGUGAAGAAGUAUUUCGGUAUGUAAAGCUCUAUCAGCAGGGAAGAAAAUGACGGUACCUGACUAAGAAGCCCCGGCUAACUACGUGCCAGCCGCCGC